Molecule: ribosomal RNA, 429 nt
Filed under: uncultured bacterium
Lineage: Bacteria
Description: bacterial SSU rRNA
Rfam family: Bacterial small subunit ribosomal RNA
Source: RNAcentral
UGGGGAAUUUUGGACAAUGGGCGCAAGCCUGAUCCAGCCAUGCCGCGUGAGUGAAGAAGGCCUUCGGGUUGUAAAGCUCUUUCGGCCGGAACGAAAUCGUCCGGGCUAAUACCCCAGACGGAUGACGAUACCGGAAGAAGAAGCACCGGCUAACUACGUGCCAGCAGCCGCGGUAAUACGUAGGGUGCAGGCGUUAAUCGGAAUUACUAGGCAUAAAGCGUGCGCAGGCGGCUUCUCAAGUCAGAUGUGAAAUCCCCGGGCUUAACCUGGGAACUGCGUUUGAAACUGGGAGGCUAGAGUGCGGCAGAGGGGGGUGGAAUUCCACGUGUAGCAGUGAAAUGCGUAGAUAUGUGGAGAAACACCGAUGGCGAAGGCAACCCCCUGGGCCAGCACUGACGCUCAUGCACGAAAGCGUGGGGAGCAAACAGG